Molecule: ribosomal RNA, 515 nt
Filed under: uncultured bacterium
Lineage: Bacteria
Description: partial 16S ribosomal RNA
Rfam family: Bacterial small subunit ribosomal RNA
Source: RNAcentral
GAUGAACGCUGGCGGCGUGCCUAAUACAUGCAAGUCGAGCGAAUGGAUUAAGAGCUUGCUCUUAUGAUGUUAGCGGCGGACGGGUGAGUAACACGUGGGUAACCUGCCCAUAAGACUGGGAUAACUCCGGGAAACCGGGGCUAAUAUCGGAUAACAUUCUGAACCGGAUGGUUCGAAAUUGAAAGGCGGCUUCGGCUGUCACUUAUGGCUGGACCCGCGUCGCAUUAGCUAGUUGGUGAGGUAACGGCUCACCAAGGCAACGAUGCGUAGCCGACCUGAGAGGGUGAUCGGCCACACUGGGACUGAGACACGGCCCAGACUCCUACGGGAGGCAGCAGUAGGGAAUCUUCCGCAAUGGACGAAAGUCUGACGGAGCAACGCCGCGUGAGUGAUGAAGGCUUUCGGGUCGUAAAACUCUGUUGUUAGGGAAGAACAAGUGCUAGUUGAAUAAGCUGACACCUUGACGGUACUUAACCAGAAAGCCACGGCUAACUACGUGCCAGCAGCCGCAGUAA